GCGGGGGUGCCCGAGCAAGGUCAAAGGGGUCGGGCUUAGGAUCCCCGAUGGUGUAGGCCUGCGUGGGUUCAAAUCCCACCCCCC
RNAcentral lists this transfer RNA (84 nucleotides) under Sulfolobus acidocaldarius DSM 639. RNAcentral's name for it is "tRNA-Leu". It matches the Rfam family "tRNA". From Rfam's summary of the family: Transfer RNA (tRNA) molecules are approximately 80 nucleotides in length. Their secondary structure includes four short double-helical elements and three loops (D, anti-codon, and T loops). The record is from RNAcentral. Lineage: Archaea; Thermoproteati; Thermoproteota; Thermoprotei; Sulfolobales; Sulfolobaceae.